This is a long non-coding RNA of Drosophila ananassae, 858 nucleotides long. RefSeq lists it as uncharacterized. NCBI's taxonomy places the organism in Eukaryota, Metazoa, Arthropoda, Insecta, Diptera, Drosophilidae. The record is from RefSeq and is a predicted model, not a curated record. The transcript has 2 exons.
AAAUAUAAGUAUUAAAAAUAUAGUAAAUGUAUUAGUAAAAGGAGAUUGUUUAUAGAGAUAUCUAUAAGCCAAAACUAUAAAAAAUAUCUCUCAUAUAGAGCUAACUAAGUAGGCAUCAUCUUUUUACGUUUAUUUUCUAUUUUAGACUAAUAUUUAAUAGCUUAUUGUAUUCUUCCCAGAUCUUUAAUAUUACUAUCAAUUUAAAUCCACUUUCCCCAGUGCAUUUUCGUUUGGAUGUAGGGCAGACGUUGGUUCCAGGACGCAUAAAUAACUCAAUUUUAAAUGCAUUUACAAGCAGCCGCAGGCUCGGCCAAGGACAUGAAUUCACAGACAUCCCCCUGCCGGGUAGGAUAACCAGAUGUUGCUGACUGUUGCAAGCAGGCCCAGGACUUACUCACUCACUCACCCAGGACCCGGAACUCAUUCGCAAAUGCGCCUAAGACAAACACUUUUGCCUUUAGCCGGGGCAAAAAGUGUUUAACAAUCAUAAAUUAAUUGCCAACAGACAAGCUGCCACAAGGCAGCACCCAGCCACGCCCACAACGCCCUCCACACUUACUUGCACUUGCCGCAAAGGCAACAUCCUGGCACUUGCAUGUGAACCUCAGUUUGCAAUAACUUUUCUUGUGGUCCAAUAACUCAGACAGCUCGCCAAAGCAUUCCCGGCAAUUGCCGCAGAUUAAUGUGUCCGGAUUGCCUGAAAAAAGGGUAAAGAAAUACGAUUCAUAAAAACUUUGAAAAUUGAGUUAAAAAGGAUUAAUUUUAUUAUUAAAAUAAGUGUUCGACUUAACAUUUGCAUAAUAAUAUCUUAAACUAUGAUUUAUUUAAAAUAUCCAAUAAAAAAAUAUAUUAAUAGUA